RNAcentral lists this ribosomal RNA (253 nucleotides) under uncultured bacterium. RNAcentral describes it as "partial 16S ribosomal RNA". It matches the Rfam family "Bacterial small subunit ribosomal RNA", at positions 524 to 776 of the family's 1533-position model. The record is from RNAcentral.
UACGUAGGUGGCGAGCGUUGUCCGGAUUUACUGGGCGUAAAGAGCGCGCAGGCGGUCGUACAAGUCGCGUGUGAAAGCCCCUGGCUCAACUGGGGAGGGUCACGCGAUACUGUUCGACUUGAAGGCAGGAGAGGGAAGUGGAAUUCCCGGUGUAGUGGUGAAAUGCGUAGAUAUCGGGAGGAACACCAGUGGCAAAGGCGACUUCCUGGCCUGUUCUUGACGCUGAGGCGCGAAAGCUAGGGUAGCAAACGGG